GUAGGGGACCCCCUGCAGCUCUCGGGGUACUCUCUGCAGCCCCCUCUCCAGCACUCUCUCCUGUGCUCUCUAGCCGCCUUGGUCAACUGCACUCUCAGCUCCAACUCUUCGAAUCAGGGGAGCCACCAGGUUCCUUGGGUUCCUCUCCCUGUGCUGCAGCCUGAGAACUCUCUCCAGGUGCACAGAGCAGGAAUGACUGUGUCCACUGACCUGUGAUGAGGACCCCGAGGCUCUGAGAAGUGGACUGGCCUGCUAGCCCUGACUCGCUGUGGACUCUGGCCCCAGGCUCCAACUUCAGGGCACUUUCUGCUGGAGCAGCAUCCUCAGGCAGCUGGCUGGGCAUCAGCAAAGAGGAGCUCCAGACCCAUCCCACACGGCUAGGAGCAGCUGGUCCUCUGUGUGGAUUUGGAAGUGCCAACCAUGCACCCGUUUUACAGCUGGGGUGAAGCAG
Molecule: long non-coding RNA, 451 nt
Filed under: Equus caballus (horse)
Lineage: Eukaryota; Metazoa; Chordata; Mammalia; Perissodactyla; Equidae
Description: lncRNA (ENSECAG00000048032.1)
Source: RNAcentral